UGGACAUGUGUGAUCGCUCCUGAAGUCUCAGGGCGGACAAGCCUCUCCUAGUUGCAACUUGGAGGACCAUUGUGAGAAGAGUGGGGGACGUUGUAGCGAGGGGAAGAAGGCAGGCCCCCGGGUCUGGGCCUUAAAGAAUGAGCUCAAGUUUGGUCAAGGAGAAGGUGUCAUUCCUAACAACUUGGUUCUUUGCUCCUACUUCAUUCGGUUCCCUUCUUAGGCCUACCAAAGCCUCCCUCAUCUUCCCAGGCCAGCUUCAAAGUCUCUCCGGAAACUUUGAGCCCCGCCCCUUCAUUCAUUUUUCCGGCCAGAGCCGAAGCCUGAGGAGAGAAGUCUUCUCCUCCCAAACCCGGAGCCCUCGGAAGGCUGGAUGCUCCCCUCCUGCCCCGCGGCCAGGGCGGGCAGGGCAGGCAGGGCAGGCCAGGGCGGGCAGGGCAGGCAGGGCAGGCAGGGCAGGGCAGGCAGGGCAGGGCAGGGCAGGCAGGGCAGGGCAGGCAGGGAGGGAUCAGUGAAUCACAGGCACCGAGGCUACCGCCGACUCGGCCACCGGUCACCACAGGCCACCGGUCUCCGGAGAGGGCUCCACCCCUAUUUUGGAUGCUGCUAGGACCGCCCCGUCCCCACUCGCUGGAAGGGGACCCAGAGAGGGAGCCGGCCCAGCCUCAGUCUGAGCAGGCCCUGGGCGUCCAGGCCGGGCCGGGUCGGCCUCCUCCAGGGAAGGGAGAUGACCUCACCCAACGUCCGCCCCCGCCCCCCGCUGCAGCUCCCGGGGAGCCGCCGGGCGGGGGGGCGCUGAAUACGGCUGGGGGCACGGAGAUGCUUUGGAUCGAAGACCCUCCCAAGGGACUGCGCGCCCCGAGCCCCGAUCCGCGUCCCCGCCGCCGGAGGAGGUGCCCGCACGCUCGCGGCGCGCGCCGGGGCCGCCCCGCUCGGCCUGUGGGCGAUUUCCUCCGGACCCGAGCUCCCCGCCCGAGGAAGAAGAUGCAGACGUUUCUGAAAGGGAAGAGAGUUGGCUACUGGCUGAGCGAGAAGAAAAUCAAGAAGCUGNGGGGGGCGGUUGGCGGGACCCCGGCGCCCAGGUGCGCCGCGACCCCGGGCGGGGAAGCCCCCGCUGCCCGCAGCGCGCCGGGGACGCUGCUGAAGGUGCACGAGGGACCCGGGAGGCCCGGGAGCCCACGCCGUCUGCGUGGGCCGGCGGCUGCUUUCGGACUGAAGUGUCUGUCUUCCUUCCUUCCCUCCCCCCGUGGGGAGGGGCGGUUGGCGGGACCCCGGCGCCCAGGUGCGCCGCGACCCCGGGCGGGGAAGCCCCCGCUGCCCGCAGCGCGCCGGGGACGCUGCUGAAGGUGCACGAGGGACCCGGGAGGCCCGGGAGCCCACGCCGUCUGCGUGGGCCGGCGGCUGCUUUCGGACUGAAGUGUCUGUCUUCCUUCCUUCCCUCCCCCCGUGGGGAGAGGGCGCCGCUGUUUGUCGGCUUGCGGACCACCUGCCGUGCGCCCCGCGUGUGCAGCCCUUGGAGCUGUCAUGGCAAGUCACUGGGUUAAGCCUGUGUGCGGCGAGUAGCAACACUUGGCACGUAUGUGGUGAUUUGCUGUCUCAUUAGAGCCUCGCACCAGCCCUGGGAGUUGACCGCGGUGGUGAUUCUGGGCCACAUGUCUGAGAAGGGGGAGCCAUCUGCAGAGAGGUGGGGUCCUCCCGCAUGGGGUCCCGUGGCCAGGGAGUGGCUGGUGCAGAGGAGGUAAAUGCAUGUGGUGUAGAGUGGC
RNAcentral lists this long non-coding RNA (1760 nucleotides) under Vulpes vulpes (red fox). RNAcentral describes it as "lncRNA (ENSVVUG00000024618.1)". The record is from RNAcentral. Lineage: Eukaryota; Metazoa; Chordata; Mammalia; Carnivora; Canidae.